Molecule: transfer RNA, 74 nt
Filed under: Thermoguttaceae bacterium
Lineage: Bacteria; Pseudomonadati; Planctomycetota; Planctomycetia; Pirellulales; Thermoguttaceae
Description: tRNA-Val
Rfam family: tRNA
About the family: Transfer RNA (tRNA) molecules are approximately 80 nucleotides in length. Their secondary structure includes four short double-helical elements and three loops (D, anti-codon, and T loops). Further hydrogen bonds mediate the characteristic L-shaped molecular structure. tRNAs have two regions of fundamental functional importance: the anti-codon, which is responsible for specific mRNA codon recognition, and the 3' end, to which the tRNAs corresponding amino acid is attached (by aminoacyl-tRNA synthetases). tRNAs cope with the degeneracy of the genetic code in two manners: having more than one tRNA (with a specific anti-codon) for a particular amino acid; and 'wobble' base-pairing, i.e. permitting non-standard base-pairing at the 3rd anti-codon position.
Source: RNAcentral
GAGCGGCUAGCUCAGUUGGUUAGAGCACCAGCUCGACAAGCUGGGGGUCACAAGUUCAAGUCUCGUGUCGCUCA